UAGGGAAUCUUCGGCAAUGGGGGCAACCCUGACCGAGCAACGCCGCGUGAGUGAAGAAGGUUUUCGGAUCGUAAAGCUCUGUUGUAAGUCAAGAACGGGUGUGAGAGUGGAAAGUUCACACUGUGACGGUAGCUUACCAGAAAGGGACGGCUAACUACGUGCCAGCAGCCGCGGUAAUACGUAGGUCCCGAGCGUUGUCCGGAUUUAUUGGGCGUAAAGCG
This 221-nucleotide ribosomal RNA is filed under the name uncultured bacterium. Its description in RNAcentral is "partial 16S ribosomal RNA". It matches the Rfam family "Bacterial small subunit ribosomal RNA", at positions 355 to 567 of the family's 1533-position model. The record is from RNAcentral.